ACGAUGACUCUCGGCAAUGGAUAUCUCGGCUCUCGCAUCGAUGAAGAACGUAGCGAAAUGCGAUACCUGGUGUGAAUUGCAGAAUCCCAUGAACCAUCGAGUCUUUGAACGCAAGUUAUGCCCGAGGCCACCUGGUCAAGGGCACGCCUCCCUGGGCAUCACGC
RNAcentral lists this ribosomal RNA (164 nucleotides) under Pinanga tashiroi. Its description in RNAcentral is "5.8S rRNA". It matches the Rfam family "5.8S ribosomal RNA". From Rfam's summary of the family: 5.8S ribosomal RNA (5.8S rRNA) is a component of the large subunit of the eukaryotic ribosome. It is transcribed by RNA polymerase I as part of the 45S precursor that also contains 18S and 28S rRNA. Lineage: Eukaryota; Viridiplantae; Streptophyta; Magnoliopsida; Arecales; Arecaceae. The record is from RNAcentral.